GCCCCCGUAGCUCAGUGGUAGAGCACUGCUCUUGUAAAGCAGGCUGCGUCGGUUCAAUCCCGACCGGGGGCUCCA
RNAcentral lists this transfer RNA (75 nucleotides) under Mycolicibacterium brumae. Its description in RNAcentral is "tRNA-Thr". It matches the Rfam family "tRNA". From Rfam's summary of the family: Transfer RNA (tRNA) molecules are approximately 80 nucleotides in length. Their secondary structure includes four short double-helical elements and three loops (D, anti-codon, and T loops). RNAcentral also lists the same sequence under 1 other name. The record is from RNAcentral. Lineage: Bacteria; Bacillati; Actinomycetota; Actinomycetes; Mycobacteriales; Mycobacteriaceae.